GACGUAGGAGGCGAGCGUUAUCCGGAUUCACUGGGCGUAAAGCGCAUGUAGGCGGUUGGACAAGUCGUGUGUUAAAGCCCCUGGCUCAACUGGGGGAGGUCAUGCGAGACUGUGCGACUUGAGGGCAAGAGAGGCACGUGGAACUCCCGGUGUAGCGGUGGAAUGCGUAGAGAUCCGGAAGAACACCGGGUGGCGAAGGCGGCCUGCUGGGCAGUGGCUGACACUGAGGCGCGACAGCGUGGG
Molecule: ribosomal RNA, 243 nt
Filed under: uncultured bacterium
Lineage: Bacteria
Description: partial 16S ribosomal RNA
Rfam family: Bacterial small subunit ribosomal RNA
Source: RNAcentral